CCUACGGGAGGCAGCAGUGAGGAAUAUUGGUCAAUGGGCGCGAGCCUGAACCAGCCAAGUAGCGUGAAGGAUGACUGCCCUACGGGUUGUAAACUUCUUUUAUACAGGAGUAAAGUGAGGCACGUGUGCCUUUUUGUAUGUACUUUAUGAAUAAGGAUCGGCUAACUCCGUGCCAGCAGCCGCGGUAAUACGGAGGAUCCGAGCGUUAUCCGGAUUUAUUGGGUUUAAAGGGAGCGUAGAUGGGUGGUUAAGUCAUGUGUGAAAGUUUGCGGCUCAACCGUAAAAUUGCAACUGAUACUGGUAGUCUUGAGAAUAGUUGAGGUAGGCGGAAUUCGUGGUGUAGCGGUGAAAUGCUUAGAUAUCACGCAGAACUCCGAUUGCGAAGGCAGCUUACCAAGCUGCCACUGACAUUGAUGCUCGAAAGUGUGGGUAUCAAACAGGAUUAGAUACCCGGGUAGUC
Molecule: ribosomal RNA, 460 nt
Filed under: uncultured bacterium
Lineage: Bacteria
Description: partial 16S ribosomal RNA
Rfam family: Bacterial small subunit ribosomal RNA
Source: RNAcentral